UGAACAAAUAAAGAAAUUCACUGAUAAAAUAAUGCUAAAUUUUUUCAAUUUAUAAUAAUUUCAACUCAUGCAAAUAUUAAAACGAGAUAUUCAUUUUCAGGGCUGAUACUUGGGUUUUACUCUUUUUUCUUGUCAGUUUGUAAGGGUAGUUUGUAAUUUGUUUGCGGUAAUUUGUCGUUAUUGUGUUUGAGAUGUUUGUUUGCAGGAAAAGUUGAAGAGCCAAAUGUAAUUUUUAUUUUGGUUUACUUGACUUUGUAAUUGUAUUUGAGUUUGUUUGUAAAGGUAGAUGUAAUUUGUUUGUUGUAGUUUCUCGUUAUUGUGUUUGAGAUGUUUGUUAUCUGAAAAAGUUGAAGAGCUAAAUGUAAUUUUUGUUUUGGUGUACUUGAGUUUGUGAUUGUAUUUGAGUUUGUUUGUAAUUGUAUUAAAAUUUCAGUGCCUACUUGUUGAAAUUUGUUGUUUUAGUUUGUUGUAAUUUCACUCGAGUUAGUUGUUUGUUUCAUUUGUUUGGAAUUGAAAAAAAAUCAAUUGGAUUUUUCUUUCAGUGUACUUGGAUUUGUAACUGUAUUUGAGUUUGUUUGUAUUUUUUUUCCAAUUUCGGUUUCUAAUUAUAAUUUGUUUGCUUUGCAUUGUUCAUAUCGAUCUAUCGUCAUGUAGGUUUUUAGUGUUCAAAUUCAUCCUUUAACUAAGUUAUGGUAGUAUAAUUUAAAAAUUAUUGUUUGAUUAGUUAGUAAAAAAAUAAAAAUAAUUGACUAAUCAAAUAAUAAAAUAAUGAGGUAAAAUUUUUAUUUUGGUUUACUUGACUUUGUAAUUGUAUUUGAGUUUGUUUGUAAAGGUAGAUGUAAUUUGUUUGUUGUAGUUUCUCGUUAUUGUGUUUGAGAUGUUUGUUAUCUGAAAAAGUUGAAGAGCUAAAUGUAAUUUUUGUUUUGGUGUACUUGAGUUUGUGAUUGUAUUUGAGUUUGUUUGUAAUUGUAUUAAAAUUUCAGUGCCUACUUGUUGAAAUUUGUUGUUUUAGUUUGUU
Molecule: long non-coding RNA, 1018 nt
Filed under: Carica papaya (papaya)
Lineage: Eukaryota; Viridiplantae; Streptophyta; Magnoliopsida; Brassicales; Caricaceae
Description: long non-coding RNA (CPAP_LNC003739)
Source: RNAcentral